GCGCCAGUAGUGUAGUGGUAUCAUGCAUGCCUCCCACGCAUGCGACCCGGGUUCGAGUCCCGGCUGGCGCA
Molecule: non-coding RNA, 71 nt
Organism: Echinococcus granulosus
Lineage: Eukaryota; Metazoa; Platyhelminthes; Cestoda; Cyclophyllidea; Taeniidae
Source: Rfam